RNA transcript from Sander lucioperca (pikeperch), 1459 nucleotides. It is a transcript of the gene named nitrilase 1, with no coding region annotated. The transcript is spliced from 7 exons. The record is from RefSeq and is a predicted model, not a curated record. NCBI's taxonomy places the organism in Eukaryota, Metazoa, Chordata, Actinopteri, Perciformes, Percidae.
AACCCUCUCCAGCAGAUGGAGGUGGUGUGCCUUAAUGCUGGUUUCUAUCCUCUGAUAAACAACAGAGAAGAAGAAAGUAGCUCCGACGAUCCUUCGUUUACUGUCUAUGGUUUGCUGUACAGUAAACACAACCGGGAAGGUGAAACGCUGUCUGAGUCACUUGGACCAAUGUUCACGGCCAGGUGCAUUUUGGGAACAUAUAAGAAGUAUUUGGCCUCUGUCCGAGCUUUGAGAAAACAGAUCAAGCUACAAAACAGGAUGUCGACUUUACCUCACUCAGUGGUUGCAGUGUGUCAGGUAACAGCCACCCCGGACAAAGAGGCCAACUUCUCUGCCUGUAAACAGCUGGUGAAGGAAGCCAAGGACCGAGGGGCCAGCAUGGUCUUCCUGCCCGAGGGCUUCGACUACAUCGGAUCCAGUCGAGAGGAGACGCUGUCGCUGUCUGAGAGCUUGACAGGAGACACAAUCUCACAAUACACUCAGCUGGCCAGAAAUUUGGAUGUCUGGCUGUCUCUUGGAGGAUUUCAUGAACGAGGACAUGAUUGGGAGUCUGACAAACGGAUCUACAACAGUCACAUCAUAAUUAAUGAUAAAGGGGACAUCAUUUCAGUCUACAGGAAAUCCCAUUUGUUUGAUGUGGAACUGCCAGAAAAACACGUAUCCCUUAAAGAAAGUGCCUUCACCAUCCCUGGACCUACCCUUGUGUCUCCAGUCCAAACUCCCAUCGGCAAGAUUGGCCUGGGCAUCUGCUAUGAUCUGAGAUUCCCUGAGUUAUCGCUGGCUCUUCAAAGGCAUGGGGCUGAGAUUCUGACAUACCCAUCAGCCUUCACUGAAGCAACAGGAGCUGCUCACUGGGAGGUUUUACUCCGUGCACGGGCAAUCGAGACCCAGUGUUUUGUCCUGGCGGCGGCGCAGGUCGGCCAGCACCACGAAAAGCGAUCAUCGUAUGGCCACGCCCUGGCGGUGGACCCGUGGGGUGAGGUGCUGGCCGACUGCGGAGGGGAGAAGCCAGGCAUGGUGCUGGUGGAAAUCGACCUGGAGAAGGUCAGCAGCACCAGGAAGAGCAUGCCGGUCCAACAGCACCGCAGAGACACUGGUUUCUAUCACAGUCUGGAGAAGACUUGACUACAAGAGAAGUGAAAAAUUCAAACUCUGUUUAGGUUUCUGUGAAGCUGCAUUAUGAGCACUUUAAGUGAAAAUCAUCUCAUACCAAAUGAGUCUGUAAAUUACUCCUACUGGUCAAUAGGUGGUACUGUUGGCUAGUAACAAUAUAAGAAAGUACUGAUAUGUAUAUAUGAUAUGUGUUGAUCUGUGGUACUGAAUGGUUAUGUACAAAUGUACCUGCAACUUUUCUGUGAUUAAAAUAAUAUACUGUUACUGCUGAAAGAUUAUAAACUCAAACAUCUGGUUUGUUUGUCUUCUGUUUCCAUUACGAAUAAAUAGAUUACUUUCUUCGUUU